AGAGUUUGAUCCUGGCUCAGAAUGAACGUUGGCGGUGCGCCUAACACAUGCAAGUCGAGCGGAAGUAAUUCAGCGGCGGACGGGUGAGUAACGCGUGGGAAUCUACCCUUUAGUGAAGAAUACCUUCGAGAAAUCGAAGUUAAUACUGCAUAUGUCCCUUCGGGGAGAAAGAUGGCCUAUUUGCUGUCGCUAGAGGAUGA
RNAcentral lists this ribosomal RNA (200 nucleotides) under uncultured bacterium. Its description in RNAcentral is "partial 16S ribosomal RNA". It matches the Rfam family "Bacterial small subunit ribosomal RNA", at positions 8 to 228 of the family's 1533-position model. The record is from RNAcentral.